GUAAGUGGCAAGCGUUGUCCGGAAUUAUUGGGCGUAAAGCGCGCGCAGGUGGUUCUUUAAGUCUGAUGUGAAAGCCCCCCGGGCUCAACCGGGGAGGGUCAUUGGAAACUGGGGAACUUGAGUGCAGGAGAGGAAAGUGGAAUUCCACGUGUAGCGGUGAAAUGCGUAGAUAUGUGGAGGAACACCAGUGGCGAAGGCGACUUUCUGGCCUGUAACUGACACUGAGGCGCGAAAGCGUGGGGAGCAAACAGGAUUAGAUACCCUGGUAGUCCACGCCGUAAACGAUGAGUGCUAAGUGUUGGGGGGUUUCCGCCCCUCAGUGCUGCAGCUAACGCAUUAAGCACUCCGCCUGGGGAGUACGGUCGCAAAGACUG
This 374-nucleotide ribosomal RNA is filed under the name uncultured organism. Its description in RNAcentral is "partial 16S ribosomal RNA". It matches the Rfam family "Bacterial small subunit ribosomal RNA", at positions 527 to 896 of the family's 1533-position model. The record is from RNAcentral.